GACGAACGCUGGCGGCGUGCCUAAUACAUGCAAGUAGAACGCUGAAGGAGGAGCUUACUUCUCUGGAUGAGUUGCGAACGGAUGAGUAACGCGUAGGUAACCUGCCUGGUAGCGGGGGAUAACUAUUGGAAACGAUAGCUAAUACCGCAUAAGAGUAGAUGUUGCAUGACAUUUACUUAAAAGGUGCAAUUGCACCACUACCAGAUGGACCUGCGUUGUAUUAGCUAGUUGGUGGGGUAACGGCUUACCAAGGCGACGAUACAUAGCCGACCUGAGCGGGUGAUCGGCCACACUGGGACUGAGACACGGCCCAGACUCCUACGGGAGGCAGCAGUAGGGAAUCUUCAGCAAUGGACGGAAGUCUGACCGAGCAACGCCGCGUGAGUGAAGAAGGUUUUCGGAUCGUAAAGCUCUGUUGUAAGAGAAGAACGAGUGUGAGAGUGGAAAGUUCACACUGUGACGGUAUCUUACCAGAAAGGGACGGCUAACUACGUGCCAGCCGCCGCCGUAA
This 511-nucleotide ribosomal RNA is filed under the name uncultured bacterium. Its description in RNAcentral is "partial 16S ribosomal RNA". It matches the Rfam family "Bacterial small subunit ribosomal RNA", at positions 28 to 523 of the family's 1533-position model. The record is from RNAcentral.